CGCAGCCCUGUCAAAUUCGGCCCUGCCUGCCCCGUGGCAGGGACCGGCCCUCGGGCUGCCACAGCAACCGUGUGCUGCACGUGCCCCACGUCCCCUCCCCUGGGACACUGGGGGGUAAACGGCCACUGACACCU
Molecule: small nucleolar RNA, 134 nt
Organism: Colius striatus (speckled mousebird)
Lineage: Eukaryota; Metazoa; Chordata; Aves; Coliiformes; Coliidae
Product: small nucleolar RNA SNORA5
Exons: 1
Source: RefSeq, a predicted model, not a curated record